GGAGGGAUGUGGAGGGGAUGUGGAGGGGAUGUGGAGGGGAUGUGGAGGGGAUAUGGAGGGGAUGUGGAGGGGAUGGGAUAUAGAGGGGAGAUACAGGGGAUGUGGAAGGAUAUGGAGGGAGGGAUAUGGAGGGAAUGUGGAAGGGAGAUACAGGGGAUGUGGAGGGAAGAUAAGGGGAUGUGGAGGGGAGAUACAGGGGAUGUGGAGGGAAGAUAAGGGGAUGUGGAGGGAAGAUACAGGGGAUGUGGAGGGAAGAUACGGGGGAUGUGGA
Oncorhynchus tshawytscha (Chinook salmon) is the source of this 271-nucleotide long non-coding RNA. The record is from Ensembl. NCBI's taxonomy places the organism in Eukaryota, Metazoa, Chordata, Actinopteri, Salmoniformes, Salmonidae.